GCGGGCGUGGCGAAAUCGGUAGACGCAGCGGGUUGAGAGCCCGCGGCAUUCGUUCCUUCCAGGUUCGAGCCCUGGCGCCCGCA
Molecule: transfer RNA, 83 nt
Filed under: Allobosea sp. RAC05
Lineage: Bacteria; Pseudomonadati; Pseudomonadota; Alphaproteobacteria; Hyphomicrobiales; Alloboseaceae
Description: Bosea sp. RAC05 tRNA
Rfam family: tRNA
About the family: Transfer RNA (tRNA) molecules are approximately 80 nucleotides in length. Their secondary structure includes four short double-helical elements and three loops (D, anti-codon, and T loops). Further hydrogen bonds mediate the characteristic L-shaped molecular structure. tRNAs have two regions of fundamental functional importance: the anti-codon, which is responsible for specific mRNA codon recognition, and the 3' end, to which the tRNAs corresponding amino acid is attached (by aminoacyl-tRNA synthetases). tRNAs cope with the degeneracy of the genetic code in two manners: having more than one tRNA (with a specific anti-codon) for a particular amino acid; and 'wobble' base-pairing, i.e. permitting non-standard base-pairing at the 3rd anti-codon position.
Source: Rfam by way of RNAcentral